RNAcentral lists this ribosomal RNA (490 nucleotides) under uncultured bacterium. Its description in RNAcentral is "partial 16S ribosomal RNA". It matches the Rfam family "Bacterial small subunit ribosomal RNA", at positions 30 to 507 of the family's 1533-position model. The record is from RNAcentral.
AUUGAACGCUGGCGGCAGGCCUAACACAUGCAAGUCGAACGGUAACAGAAAGCAGCUUGCUGCUUUGCUGACGAGUGGCGGACGGGUGCGUAAUGUCUGGGAAACUGCCUGAUGGAGGGGGAUAACUACUGGAAACGGUAGCUAAUACCGCAUAACGUCGCAAGACCAAAGAGGGGGACCUUCGGGCCUCUUGCCAUCGGAUGUGCCCAGAUGGGAUUAGCUAGUAGGUGGGGUAACGGCUCACCUAGGCGACGAUCCCUAGCUGGUCUGAGAGGAUGACCAGCCACACUGGAACUGAGACACGGUCCAGACUCCUACGGGAGGCAGCAGUGGGGAAUAUUGCACAAUGGGCGCAAGCCUGAUGCAGCCAUGCCGCGUGUAUGAAGAAGGCCUUCGGGUUGUAAAGUACUUUCAGCGGGGAGGAAGGGAGUAAAGUUAAUACCUUUGCUCAUUGACGUUACCCGCAGAAGAAGCACCGGCUAACUCCGUG